UCUCAUCUUCCACACAAGUAACCCUAGCCCCCUUCUACCCUUUCACUCAAACCUCUGCAUCUCUACACUCCGGCAACCAGAGCCGAAGUCCGGCGAGCUCCGACGACCCCCCUUCUCUCCGCUCAAGAACCACCAUCACCCUCCCCCUCCCUCGUUUUCAUUUUCUCACCAACCGCAUGAAGAAAAGUCAUACAAUGCUCGUUCACCGGAGCUCGUUAGAGAUCGAAGUUCACGACGGAGCUGUUUGGCCAUGUUUCGCUUGCCGAGCACGUAGCCGAAAACACCUUCCUUGCACCUCUCGGAUAUCUAAGCUCACCGGAGCCGCCCGAGGUUCGCGACGAAAACACGUCAUCGCCACAGUCUCAUUCGAACCCCUUCACAUUCACCGGAGAUUGCCGGAGGACCCGUACUCAAGUCGGAGACGUCCGAAGUCACAACGGGAACCACGCCACGUAUCGUUCGGUUGAGGAUGAUGAUGCUGCUAUGAAAAGAAGUAGCGUUGAUGCCUAGAUACGCAUAUAGACGUUUAGGUUUAAUAUGUUGUAUCAAUUUUGAUUAUGUUGUUAUGUAUUUCCUAUGAACUUGUUGUUAUUCGUAUUUCUUGUAUUGUUGACAAUUUACUUAUGAAAUGAAACCGGUUUAUUAAA
Molecule: long non-coding RNA, 647 nt
Organism: Helianthus annuus (common sunflower)
Lineage: Eukaryota; Viridiplantae; Streptophyta; Magnoliopsida; Asterales; Asteraceae
Exons: 2
Source: RefSeq, a predicted model, not a curated record